ACUUUGAUCCUGGCUCAGAAUCAACGCUGGCGGCGUGCCUAACACAUGCAAGUCGAACGGCAGCACAGUGUGUAGCAAUACACAUGGGUGGCGAGUGGCGGACGGGUGCGUAAUGCGUAGGAAUCUACCCUAAAGCGGGGGACAACCCGGGGAAACUCGGGCUAAUACCGCAUAAUCUCUACGGAGAAAAGGGGGCUAACAAUAGCUCUCACUUUAGGAUGAGCCUACGUCGGAUUAGCUUGUUGGUGGGGUAAAAGCUUACCAAGGUAACGAUCCGUAGCUGGUCUGAGAGGACGGCCAGCCACACUGGGACUGAGACACGGCCCAGACUCCUACGGGAGGCAGCAGUGGGGAAUUUUGGACAAUGGGGGAAACCCUGAUCCAGCAAUGCCGCGUGUGUGAAGAAGGCCUUCAGGUUGUAAAGCACUUUUAGUGGGGAAGAAAGAUUCGAGGUUAAUACCUUCGAAUG
Molecule: ribosomal RNA, 469 nt
Filed under: uncultured Gammaproteobacteria bacterium
Lineage: Bacteria; Pseudomonadati; Pseudomonadota; Gammaproteobacteria
Description: bacterial SSU rRNA
Rfam family: Bacterial small subunit ribosomal RNA
Source: RNAcentral